UGUGGUACAGAAUAAAAAAUGACUGCUCUGUAAGUUUGGCCUACACUGCUGUAGAGAUCGACUCAUGCAUAGGGGUUGACUCAUGGGGUCGACUCAUAGGGUGUGCCAGCCAAAAAUUCAGCGUGCCAUUCAGCCCUUUUUGUCAUGAGUCGACUCAUGGGGUCGACUCAAAUACAUAAAUCUGAUUUUCUUACAAAAUUCACAUCCAGA
Molecule: long non-coding RNA, 210 nt
Filed under: Elaeis guineensis (African oil palm)
Lineage: Eukaryota; Viridiplantae; Streptophyta; Magnoliopsida; Arecales; Arecaceae
Description: long non-coding RNA (EGUI_LNC050754)
Source: RNAcentral